Molecule: ribosomal RNA, 302 nt
Filed under: uncultured bacterium
Lineage: Bacteria
Description: partial 16S ribosomal RNA
Rfam family: Bacterial small subunit ribosomal RNA
Source: RNAcentral
GCAGUCGCCGCGGUAAUACGUAGGGUGCAAGCGUUGUCCGGAAUUAUUGGGCGUAAAGAGCUCGUAGGCGGUUUGCUACGUCGGAUGUGAAACCCUGAGGCUCAACCUCAGGCCUGCAUACGAUACGGGCUAACUAGAGUGUGGUAGGGGAGACUGGAAUUCCUGGUGUAGCGGUGAAAUGCGCAGAUAUCAGGAGGAACACCGGUGGCGAAGGCGGGUCUCUGGGCCAUUACUGACGCUGAGGAGCGAAAGCGUGGGGAGCAAACAGGAUUAGAUACCCCAGUAGUCCCUGUCUCUUAUAC